UCCGCCAGGGGACUACAAGCAUAAGCUUAAAACCCAAAGGACUUGGCGGUGCUUUAGACCCACCUAGAGGAGCCUGUUCUAGAACCGAUAACCCUCGUUAAACCUCACCCUUUCUUGUUAAUAAACCGCCUAUAUACCGCCGUCGUCAGCUUACCUUGUGAAAGAACAAUAGUAAACAAAAACGGUUUAACCCAAAACGUCAGGUCGAGGUGUAGCGAAUGAAAGGGGAAGAAAUGGGCUACAUUCUCUGUAACAGAAAAUACGGAAUAUUAUCAUGAAAAAAUAUAUAAAGGAGGAUUUAGCAGUAAAUGGGAAAUAGAGUGCCCU
This 327-nucleotide ribosomal RNA is filed under the name Epiplatys sangmelinensis. Its description in RNAcentral is "partial 12S ribosomal RNA". It matches the Rfam family "Bacterial small subunit ribosomal RNA", at positions 868 to 1360 of the family's 1533-position model. Lineage: Eukaryota; Metazoa; Chordata; Actinopteri; Cyprinodontiformes; Nothobranchiidae. The record is from RNAcentral.